This 253-nucleotide ribosomal RNA is filed under the name uncultured bacterium. RNAcentral's name for it is "partial 16S ribosomal RNA". It matches the Rfam family "Bacterial small subunit ribosomal RNA", at positions 524 to 776 of the family's 1533-position model. The record is from RNAcentral.
UACGAAGGGGACUAGCGUUGUUCGGAAUCACUGGGUGUAAAGCGCACGUAGGCGGAUUUGUAAGUCAGGGGUGAAAUCCCGGGGCUCAACCUCGGAACUGCCUUUGAUACUGCGAAUCUUGAGUCCGAUAGAGGUGGGUGGAAUUCCUAGUGUAGAGGUGAAAUUCGUAGAUAUUAGGAAGAACACCGGUGGCGAAGGCGGCCCACUGGAUCGGUACUGACGCUGAGGUGCGAAAGCGUGGGGAGCAAACAGG